UACGGGGGGGGCAAGCGUUGUUCGGAAUUACUGGGCGUAAAGGGCUCGUAGGCGGCCAACUAAGUCAGACGUGAAAUCCCCAGGCUUAACCUGGGAACUGCGUCGGAUACUGGAUGGCUUGAAUUCGGGAGAGGGAUGCAGAAUUCCAGGUGUAGCGGUGAAAUGCGUAGAUAUCUGGAGGAAUACCGGUGGCGAAGGCGGCAUCCUGGACCGAGAUUGACGCUGAUGAGCGAAAGCUAGGGGAGCAAACGGG
RNAcentral lists this ribosomal RNA (253 nucleotides) under uncultured bacterium. RNAcentral's name for it is "partial 16S ribosomal RNA". It matches the Rfam family "Bacterial small subunit ribosomal RNA", at positions 524 to 776 of the family's 1533-position model. The record is from RNAcentral.